UCGCCGGCCGCCUCUCUUUCCUUUUUUUUUUUUUUUUUUUUUUNCUUCCGUUGAUUCCUAUCCGAUCGCGAUGGCAACGAAGCACCUGGCUCUAUUUGCGACUCGGUCGGCGGUUUCAGUCACCAAGCCUCGAGGUUUUCGUUCCGGCUUGAUUGAUAGUCGCCGGUUUUCAACAGUGGAUUUCGAGAAGGAGCUUAAUAGGCUGAAUGAGGCCAUCGGAAAGCGUAAUGGUGAACGAGAAGCAAAUCUUUCAAGCUGGAGAAAGGAGUACGAAGAUAAUUUGAAUAAAAAAGUUUAAGGAGUUUGUUGAGAUUCAAAAAUCUCAAGAGCGUGAGAUCUACACAGCGGCAAUGAAUUAUAGCGAAAAUUUGAGGAUUGCACAUAAUCAGCUAAAGGAGGCGCUUAUUAGCAAGAAAUUAGCUAUCCGCCAGCUAAAUGGCGAGGUGUUUGGGAUCACUCUCAUGACUUUGGCUUCCUUAUAUUAAUAAAAAAGGAAACAGUGGGCUUAGAUCAAAAAUUUUGGUCUUGGGAUAGAACUGAUCCACAACGCAGUUCUUCUUUGUUUUCCGUGUUGUGAUUGGUUGAGAUAUUUUGGAGAGAAAGAAAAAUCUCUCAUCCUCUUCGAAAUCGAUGAUGGCUGAAGAAGUAGGCGCGCUCACAUUCCCGAUGUCGAGAGAAUCGGAGUCCGCUUCUCGACUCAAAACCAUAAUCUCCGAUAUGCUUCCUCGUUUCUCCGACGAUUACAUCGACGACGUCUUCUCAGUUCGUCAUCUUCUUUAAAUUUCAUUUUGCCUUCCUGUUCUAGAGACGACGAUUCUUAGGUUUUUAUUGUUUUCGAAUUCCUUCGUCUGUCUCGUUACUUGUGAAUUUUUCCCAAGGGAUUUGGUACUGGUGACUAUGUUUUGAUUGUUCGAUUUAAUUAAUUAUCGAUGAGUGUAUGUAAUCACUUUGUUUAGACUGGUUUCAACUUGUAGAAAUUGUAAUACUUGAACCGUGGGAGCAGAAAAUUGCAGGUUGAUGAUGCUUGAUUUGGUGUGAAGAUCAGGUGAUGAUGAUUUUCGUGUUUACUGAUGAAUCAGCUUGUUUCAGGAGUAUGUUACAGUCCUUGUUUGUAAUGGAAACCCGUCUUAGUUCUGUAUCGAUGAUAGAUGCUAAGAAGGAGAAGCAUCAGAUGUAAUGGGAACUGCUGAAUGGAGAGCCAUGAAGAGUCCAUCUUACUACAAGCGUGGUGAUUAUGUUCCUGGACUCAAGGUCAGCUUUUGAAUCUUCUUAUUUGUUUUAAGGAUUGAUGUGAGAGUUUUAAGAUGAGGGAGGAGAAGUUUGGUUGGCUUAUAUUAUCUUUGAGCAAAUGGAUUAGUUUCAUUUCCUGAAUCACAUGAAGUUCCUAGUUUUAAGAGUGACCGAUGUGAUCUCCAACGUCUCCCUUCCUCUUUUCCAAGUUCCUUCCUUUUAAGUCAUCUCAAUUUCAUCGCUCCAUUGUUCUUCAGGUAUCAAUUUUACUGCUGUGGAAAUUUUAGAGUAGGCGUCUCUGUUGAUUUAGAAAGUUAAGGAUUUGGAUACGACCCUCUUUGAUCUGACACCGGAAUGUUGGUGGGUUUCGAAUUUUCUCUGAUAAAGUGUCGAUCUUUUAGUUUUAAUUUUCUGGAUCGUUGUUGUCUUCUUCUCUAGUAGAAAGAAAGAACUGAUUACCAUUGAGUAUAUAUAUGUAGUUAUCUCUUCUUCAGCAUUUUCCUGCUGUUUACGUUUUUGGUGCUGCUCUAUGGAUCGAAUUGUAUCUACAAAGCCCUUUAAUUACUUUGCUGAUUGCGUUUUUCUGCAAAUGAGAUCAAAGCUCCGGGAUCUUAGAUGAUGAUCUGAGUUUUGAGGAAAGCUUUUAGGUCUGAUUCCAUACAAUGUUGGGGAUAUUAAGAGAUGUUGAGUAUGUUGGUCUUUUUCAGGUUCGUUAAAUGCAGAUUGUUGGACCGUUUAGUUUCAGAGUGGAGUCUGGAAUUCAGAUUGAUCUGAAGAAUGGAGCUAACCCCGUGACUGUAGAUAAGACAGUAUUUGCUAUGGAAUAUGCUAUUCAAGUGCUUGCUUCUCCCAAGGCUGUUGCUUGGUUCUCCCACAACAGAAAGAAUUCAUGGUUGAGCUUCGUUUCUUUGAGAUAUAGUAUCAGGACUUUCCACUCAAAAUGUCUAGCUUGAUCCUAUGAAGAUUGUAGUUGUCUGCAGAGAAGUAACUAGACAAUGGUUGAUUUUUUUUUCAGUUUCUUAUGUUAAACAGAUGAAUGAUUUAAUAGAAAGGAAGUUUACAUCUUACAUUAUUUCACUA
Non-coding RNA from Camelina sativa (false flax), 2310 nucleotides. Lineage: Eukaryota; Viridiplantae; Streptophyta; Magnoliopsida; Brassicales; Brassicaceae. The record is from RefSeq and is a predicted model, not a curated record.